AUCCAGCUGACGAGUCCCAAAUGGGACGAAAGGCACGUCAAACUGGAU
Non-coding RNA from Schistosoma haematobium, 48 nucleotides. The record is from Rfam. Lineage: Eukaryota; Metazoa; Platyhelminthes; Trematoda; Strigeidida; Schistosomatidae.